This is a long non-coding RNA of Gekko japonicus, 110 nucleotides long. RefSeq lists it as uncharacterized. The record is from RefSeq and is a predicted model, not a curated record. Lineage: Eukaryota; Metazoa; Chordata; Lepidosauria; Squamata; Gekkonidae. The transcript is spliced from 3 exons.
GUAAGCGGAGCGGCGUGUGGCGGCGGCAGCGCUGAGCCCAGUGGAGUUCCAGACUUCCACUCAGCAGAGUGCGUUAAUGUCUUCUGAGAUGGAUGAAAUGGCUGUGUUUG